This 254-nucleotide ribosomal RNA is filed under the name uncultured Pseudomonadota bacterium. RNAcentral's name for it is "uncultured proteobacterium partial 16S ribosomal RNA". It matches the Rfam family "Bacterial small subunit ribosomal RNA", at positions 524 to 776 of the family's 1533-position model. Lineage: Bacteria; Pseudomonadati; Pseudomonadota. The record is from RNAcentral.
UACGUAGGGUCCGAGCGUUAAUCGGAAUUACUGGGCGUAAAGCGUACGUAGGCGGCUGCUUAAGUCAGAUGUGAAAUCCCCGGGCUCAACCUGGGAACUGCGUUUGAUACUGGGCAGCUUGAGACAGAUAGAGGAAAGUAGAAUUCUCGCAAGUAGUGGUGAAAUGCGUAGAUAUGCGGAGGAAUACUCGUGGCGAAGGCGGCUUUCUGGAUCAUGUCUGACGCUGAAGUACGAAAGCGUGGGUAGCAAACAGG